RNAcentral lists this ribosomal RNA (254 nucleotides) under uncultured bacterium. RNAcentral's name for it is "partial 16S ribosomal RNA". It matches the Rfam family "Bacterial small subunit ribosomal RNA", at positions 524 to 776 of the family's 1533-position model. The record is from RNAcentral.
UACGGGGGAUGCAAGCGUUAUCUGGAUUUAUUGGGUUUAAAGGGUGCGUAGGCUGUGAGGUAAGUCAGCGGCGAAAUGCCCCCGCUCAACGGGGUGAAGUGCCAUUGAUACUGCCUUGCUGGAAUGCGGAUGCCGUGGGAGGAAUGUGUGGUGUAGCGGUGAAAUGCAUAGAUAUCACACAGAACACCGAUUGCGAAGGCAUCUCACGAAUCCGCGAUUGACGCUGAUGCACGAAAGCGUGGGUAUCAAACAGG